UGCCAGACUCCUACGGGAGGCAGCAGUGGGGGAUAUUGCACAAUGGGGGGAACCCUGAUGCAGCGACGCCGCGUGGGUGAAGAAGCGCCUCGGCGCGUAAAGCCCUGUCAGCAGGGAAGAAACAGACGGUACCUGACUAAGAAGCCCCGGCUAACUACGUGCCAGCAGCCGCGGUAAUACGUAGGGGGCAAGCGUUAUCCGGAUUCACUGGGUGUAAAGGGAGCGUAGACGGCGACGCAAGUCUGGAGUGAAAGCCCGGGGCCCAACCCCGGGACUGCUCUGGAAACUGCGGCGCUGGAGUACGGGAGGGGCAGGCGGAAUUCCUAGUGUAGCGGUGAAAUGCGUAGAUAUUAGGAGGAACACCAGUGGCGAAGGCGGCCUGCUGGACGACAACUGACGGUGAGGCGCGAAAGCGUGGGGAGCAAACAGGAUUAGAUACCCGGGUAC
Molecule: ribosomal RNA, 447 nt
Filed under: uncultured bacterium
Lineage: Bacteria
Description: partial 16S ribosomal RNA
Rfam family: Bacterial small subunit ribosomal RNA
Source: RNAcentral